AGGUGAACCUGCGGAAGGAUCAUUACCGAGUGCGGGCCCUCGCGGCCCAACCUCCCACCCUUGUCUCUAUACACCUGUUGCUUUGGCGGGCCCACCGGGGCCACCUGGUCGCCGGGGGACGCACGUCUCCGGGCCCGCGCCCGCCGAAGCGCUCUGUGAACCCUGAUGAAGAUGGGCUGUCUGAGUACUGUGAAAAUUGUCAAAACUUUCAACAAUGGAUCUCUUGGUUCCGGCAUCGAUGAAGAACGCAGCGAAAUGCGAUAAGUAAUGUGAAUUGCAGAAUUCCGUGAAUCAUCGAAUCUUUGAACGCACAUUGCGCCCCCUGGCAUUCCGGGGGGCAUGCCUGUCCGAGCGUCAUUUCUGCCCUCAAGCACGGCUUGUGUGUUGGGUGUGGUCCCCCCGGGGACCUGCCCGAAAGGCAGCGGCGACGUCCGUCUGGUCCUCGAGCGUAUGGGGCUCUGUCACUCGCUCGGGAAGGACCUGCGGGGGUUGGUCACCACCAUGUUUUACCACGGUUGACCUCGGAUCAGGUAGGAGUUACCCGCUGAACUUAAGCAUAUCAAUAAGCGGAGGG
This 574-nucleotide unclassified non-coding RNA is filed under the name Talaromyces funiculosus. RNAcentral's name for it is "sequence contains ITS1, 5.8S rRNA gene, ITS2". The stretch from base 204 to 357 matches the Rfam family "5.8S ribosomal RNA". Lineage: Eukaryota; Fungi; Ascomycota; Eurotiomycetes; Eurotiales; Trichocomaceae. The record is from RNAcentral.